CAGUGGUGGGGUGUGACCGUGUUGUGGUCUGAAAGGCCACCCCGCUGAGUCCUGCCUUUUCCUGUCUAACCUUGAAUUUCUCUGGUAAACUUUCUUUAUUGUUUUUUGUUUGUGUGUGUGUGUUUAAAGUAAACUUGUGUUCUUGACUGUAUUUCAGUAUUUUCCAGCCUUAUCAACCUUGUGUUGUUAAACUAUUCCCUGGGCACCAAUGAUAGCCCCAUUGUUCAUCUGUUGUUUUUAAACAGCAUCUCACAGCUCCGUAAUGUAGGCACUCUUGUUUGCCUUGUGAUCUUUGUAACAUAACGUGGGGGGGUAUAUUUGGGAAUGACUGCAAGCGUUUCUUUCUCCAUCUGUAUGCAACUGGCUCCAAUUAUUAAUCCUUUCUU
RNAcentral lists this long non-coding RNA (386 nucleotides) under Androctonus crassicauda. Lineage: Eukaryota; Metazoa; Arthropoda; Arachnida; Scorpiones; Buthidae. The record is from RNAcentral.